UGAGUAACUUGGCUCCGGGGGCUCCGCUCGCCUGCCCCCACGCCGCCCGCCACCCAGGACCGCGCCGCCGGCCUCUGCCGCGAACAAACCCUUCUGACGGCCCUCGCUGUGCAGGCCAGGAUGCCUCUCCCCCAUCCGCCCCCGCUGCGGAAAGUUAAGUUUGAAGAGGGGGGAAGAGGGGAACAUGGACAUGAAGAGGAGGAUCCACCUGGAGCUGAGGAACUGGACCCCGUCAGCUGUUCGAGAACUUGUCUUGGACAAUUGCAAAUCAAAUGAUGGAAAAAUUGAGGGCUUAACAGCUGAAUUUGUGAACUUAGAGUUCCUUAGUUUAAUAAAUGUAGGCUUGAUCUCAGUUUCAAAUCUUCCCAAGCUGCCUAAAUUGAAAAAGCUUGAACUCAGUGAAAAUAGAAUCUUUGGAGGUCUGGACAUGUUAGCUGAAAAGCUUCCAAAUCUCACACGUCUAAACUUAAGUGGAAAUAAACUGAAAGAUAUCAGCACCUUGGAACCUUUGAAAAAGUUAGAAUGUCUGAAAAGCCUGGACCUCUUUAACUGUGAGGUUACUAACAUGAAUGACUACUGAGAGUGUCUUCAAGCUCCUGCCCCAGCUUACCUACAUGGAUGGCUAUGACCAAGAGGACCAGGAGGAACCUGACUCAGAUGCUGAGGUGGAUGGUGUGGAUGAAGAGUAGGAGGGCGAAGAAGAAGACGAAGAAGACGAGGAGGAUGAAGAUGGUGAAGAAGAGGAGUUUGAUGAAGAAGAUGAAAAUGUAGAAGGAGAUGACGAAGAUGAAGUCAGUGAGGAGGAAGAAGAAUUUGGACUUGAAGAAGAUGAAGAUGAGGAUGAGGAUGAAGGAGGAGGAAGAAGGCAGGAAAGGUAAAAAGAGGAAGAGAGAAACGGAUGAUGAAGGAGAAGAUGAUUAAGACCCCAGAUGACCUGCAGAAACAGAACUGUUUAGUAUCGGUUGGACUGCUCAUGGAUUUGGUAGCUGUUAAAAAAAAAAAAAAAAAGGUAGCUGAUACAAACCCCAGGACACCCACCCACCCAAAGAGCCAAAGAAUAGUUCCUGUGACAUUCCGUCUUCCUCCAUGUAGUCCCUCUUGGUAAUCUACCAAUCUACCAUCGAGCUUAGGGACUUCACCCCAACAAAAUUGUAAGUGUUGUUAGGUUUUUGUGUGAGACUCUUGCUGUAGCGUAGAUAGCUGUGAUUGGUGAGUCAACCAUCUGUGGCUACCAGUUACACUGGGACUGUAACAGCAUUUUUACUUUCUGUACAACAAAAAUCUUUGUAAAUAAAAU
This is a long non-coding RNA of Homo sapiens (human), 1297 nucleotides long. NCBI's taxonomy places the organism in Eukaryota, Metazoa, Chordata, Mammalia, Primates, Hominidae. The record is from Ensembl.